CCUCCAUUCAUGGCAGACGGGAGCGGAACACAUUGGUAACCUACCCCCAAGAGAGGGAUAAUCUUCCGAAAGGAAGGAUAAUACCUCAUGUGCUCAUAUUACAUAUGUUUUAUGAGUAAAACUCCGGUGCUUGGGGAGGGGCCUAUGUCCUAUCAGCUUGUUGGUGAGGUAAAAGCUCACCAAGGCUAUGACGGGUACCGGGUGUGAGAGCAUGACCCGGCUCAAUGGGACUGAGACACUGCCCAUACUCCUACGGGAGGCUGCAGUCAAGAAUCUUCCGCAAUGGCCGAAAGGCUGACGGAGCAACGCCGCGUGUAGGAAGGCGCCCCUUGGGGUGUAAACUACUUUUAUUAGGGAAGAACAAAUGACGGUACCUAAAGAAUAAGGGGCUGCUAACUUCGUGCCAGCAGCAGCGGUAAUACGAAGGCCCCAAGCGUUAUCCGGAAUUACUGGGCGUAAAGCGUCCGCAGGCUGUUUAGUAAGUAUGCUGUUAAAUCUCAGGGCUCAACCCUGAGGCCGCAACAUAAACUGCUAGACUAGAGGAUGGGAGAGGCACUUGGAAUUGUCGGUGUAGUAGUAAAAUGCAUUGAUAUCGACAGGAACACCAUAUGCGAAGGCAUAGUGCUGGAACACUCCUGACGCUCAUGGACGAAAGCGUGUGUAGCGAAUCGGAUUAGAUACCCGAGUAGUCCACGCCGUAAACGAUGUGCACUAGACAUUGGUAGUAUCGACCCUAUCAGUGUCGCUCAACCAAGCUAACGCGUUAAGUGCACCGCCUGGGGAGUACGGCCGCAAGGCUAAAACUCAAAGGAAUUGACGGGAACCCGCACAAGCGGUGGAGCAUGUGGUUUAAUUCGACGAUAAGCGAGGAACCUCACCAAGACUUGACAUCUAGCUGCAAGCCUGUAGAAAUACAAGCCGUCUUCGAGAGUGCUAGACAGGUGCUGCAUGGUUGUCGUCAGCUCGUGACGUGAGUUGUACGGUUAAGUCCGGUAACGAGCGCAACCCCUAUGCUAUGUUAUAUGUGUCAUAGCAGACUGCCUACGUAAGUAGGAGGAAGGUGGGGAUGACGUCAAAUCAGCAUGGCUCUUACGUCUUGGGCCACACACGUGCUACAAUGGCUAGGACAAUGCGUCGCCAACCCGCGAGGGGGAGCUAAUCGCAUCAAACCUAGUCUCAGUUCGGAUUGGAGUCUGCAAUUCGACUCCAUGAAGCUGGAAUCGCUAGUAACCGCGUAUCAGCCACGACGCGGUGAAUACGUUCUCGGGUUUUGUACACACCGCCCGUCACAUCAAGGGAGUCGAUGGCACCCGAAUGUCUGUGGAUGCAGGCAGAAGGUGAAAUCGAUGACAGGGAUGAAGUCGUAACAAGGCA
This 1374-nucleotide ribosomal RNA is filed under the name metagenome. Its description in RNAcentral is "bacterial SSU rRNA". It matches the Rfam family "Bacterial small subunit ribosomal RNA". The record is from RNAcentral.